UGGGGAAUAUUGCACAAUGGGCGGAAGCCUGAUGCAGCAACGCCGCGUGCGGGAUGACGGCCUUCGGGUUGUAAACCGCUUUCACCAGGGGCGAAGGCAUCCUUUUGGGGUGUUGACGGUACCUGGAGAAGAAGCACCGGCUAACUACGUGCCAGCAGCCGCGGUGAUACGUAGGGUGCGAGCGUUGUCCGGAUUUAUUGGGCGUAAAGGGCUCGUAGGCGGUUGAUCGCGUCGGAAGUGAAAACUUGGGGCUUAACCCUGAGCGUGCUUUCGAUACGGGUUGACUUGAGGAAGGUAGGGGAGAAUGGAAUUCCUGGUGGAGCGGUGGAAUGCGCAGAUAUCAGGAGGAACACCAGUGGCGAAGGCGGUUCUCUGGACCUUUCCUGACGCUGAGGAGCGAAAGCGUGGGGAGCAAACAGG
This 420-nucleotide ribosomal RNA is filed under the name uncultured bacterium. RNAcentral describes it as "bacterial SSU rRNA". It matches the Rfam family "Bacterial small subunit ribosomal RNA", at positions 355 to 776 of the family's 1533-position model. RNAcentral also lists the same sequence under 2 other names. The record is from RNAcentral.